AUGAGGAAACUGAGGCAAACAAGAUGAAGUGACCUGCCCAGGGUCCCACAGCUAGGAAUUGCCAGAUUUGAAUUCAAGAAGAUGCGCUUCCCGACUCAGAACCUGGCGCUCUGUCACUGUAGCACCCAGCCGCCCCAAACGCCUCCCCUUGAUCUGCCAAAGGAGGUAGCUGGAGGCUCAUACAACUGAAGAGUGUUGCCAGAGUGGGACAGAGAUGAGACCGAGGAGCCUGUUUCCAUGAAAGGGGAGGUGAUGUCUAGCAGAAGUGUCUAGAGGAAACUGGAGACUUUGGAUCCUUGGUUCCCAUCCUUCUGCUGACAACGUGCCGGCAGCAGCCUCUCUGAUGGGUGGCACGUGGACUGGAGACACCUUUAAAUGGCUUUUGUUGGUCUUCAUCUGGUCUCUGCCUCUCUUCUCAAAAAGGGAUUCAUUCAAAUGCUGCAACCUCGUGAAUUUGGAAAGGUCAGGAGCACGAGCCAGCUGAGCAAUCAUGUUCGAGGAGUCCUAGAGUCAAGCCCCACCCCGGUUUUGUAGCCAGUCCAGCAACAAGGUCCAGAAGAGCGAAAAGAGACCUUGGAGACCCAGGCCAGUCCUAGGUGAGCUUACCACUGCCAUGAUAAGCUUACAAGAUGACACGGACGUGAUAGGUGGGAACUGAUUGAUUGAUAUCUACAUAAUUGAAGAUGACUUCAGAGAGAAUGACAGGCAGUGACGGGGAGAAACUGCAGAAAGGCGAAUUUAGGCGUGACAUCAGGGAAGACUUCUCCAGAAGUAAAAUGGGCUGCUUCUGGAAGCAGUGAAUUCAUCACUACUUUGUUUGAUUGAGGUCUGGACUUUUGCAAUUAGUCUCCCUGCCUCCAGUCUCUCAUUACUCAGAAUGCCAUCAAACCAUGGAAUCCCUGGCUCCCUCAGUCUCAGCUCACAUACGAGCGAAUGGCCUCCGUUUCCAGAGCCCUGCACUCUCCCACUUAUUCCGUAUGGACUACGUACAUAACUACGCAUAUAACUGUUUCUAACCACGAGGUCUACGAGAGCCUGAGCACGUUGGGCAAAGGGACUGUUUUCAUGUCCCUUUGCAUCACCAGAGUCUACCACCAUGCAGUGUACACUUAAUAAAUACAUGUUAAUUGAUUGGUGCAUGGCCACGUGACGGGUAUGUUGUAGAGAGGAUUGUUCUUCAAGGAGGGUUUGAACCAGAUCACUUCUGAUAGCCUGCAAUGCUGUGAUC
Molecule: long non-coding RNA, 1228 nt
Organism: Sarcophilus harrisii (Tasmanian devil)
Lineage: Eukaryota; Metazoa; Chordata; Mammalia; Dasyuromorphia; Dasyuridae
Exons: 5
Source: RefSeq, a predicted model, not a curated record